This 207-nucleotide ribosomal RNA is filed under the name uncultured Roseburia sp. Its description in RNAcentral is "partial 16S ribosomal RNA". It matches the Rfam family "Bacterial small subunit ribosomal RNA", at positions 568 to 774 of the family's 1533-position model. The record is from RNAcentral. Lineage: Bacteria; Bacillati; Bacillota; Clostridia; Lachnospirales; Lachnospiraceae.
AGCGCAGGCGGUCUUGCAAGUCUGAUGUGAAAGCCCGGGGCUCAACCCCGGUACUGCAUUGGAAACUGUCGGACUAGAGUGUCGGAGGGGUAAGUGGAAUUCCUAGUGUAGCGGUGAAAUGCGUAGAUAUUAGGAGGAACACCAGUGGCGAAGGCGGCUUACUGGACGAUUACUGACGCUGAGGCUCGAAAGCGUGGGGAGCAAACA